Molecule: non-coding RNA, 75 nt
Organism: Parelaphostrongylus tenuis
Lineage: Eukaryota; Metazoa; Nematoda; Chromadorea; Rhabditida; Metastrongylidae
Source: the annotation of a GenBank genome assembly
GUGUCAGUAGUGUAACGGUAUAGAGCAUGCGCUCUCGUAAAGAGUGAGGUGCGGGUUCUAGUCCCGCCUGGUGCG